UGAUCCUGGCUCAGGAUGAACGCUAGCGGCAGGCUUAACACAUGCAAGUCGAGGGGUAUGAGUCUUCGGAUCCAGAGACCGGCGCACGGGUGCGUAACGCGUAUGCAAUCUACCUUUUACAGAGGGAUAGCCCAGAGAAAUUUGGAUUAAUACCUCAUAGCAUAGCAGCUUCGCAUGAAGCCACUAUUAAAGUCACAACGGUAAAAGAUGAGCAUGCGUCCCAUUAGCUAGUUGGUAAGGUAACGGCUUACCAAGGCUACGAUGGGUAGGGGUCCUGAGAGGGAGAUCCCCCACACUGGUACUGAGACACGGACCAGACUCCUACGGGAGGCAGCAGUGAGGAAUAUUGGACAAUGGGCGCAAGCCUGAUCCAGCCAUGCCGCGUGCAGGAUGACGGUCCUAUGGAUUGUAAACUGCUUUUAUACGAGAAGAAACACUCCUUCGUGAAGGAGCUUGACGGUAUCGUAAGAAUAAGGAUCG
Molecule: ribosomal RNA, 480 nt
Filed under: Flavobacterium sp. WB4.13-24
Lineage: Bacteria; Pseudomonadati; Bacteroidota; Flavobacteriia; Flavobacteriales; Flavobacteriaceae
Description: bacterial SSU rRNA
Rfam family: Bacterial small subunit ribosomal RNA
Source: RNAcentral